RNAcentral lists this long non-coding RNA (859 nucleotides) under Malus domestica (apple). RNAcentral describes it as "long non-coding RNA (MDOM_LNC011295)". The record is from RNAcentral. Lineage: Eukaryota; Viridiplantae; Streptophyta; Magnoliopsida; Rosales; Rosaceae.
CAAAUUGCACUUUCUUGCCAACUUUGUCAUUUGAACCUGAAAACACACGAAAAUAACUUAAAACACUCUAAUAAGUAGAAAUUAGCUAUUUAAAUGCAAGAAAACAAGCCAACUAAGUCGCAUAAAUAUGCUCCUAUCAAUUACCAAUGCAAACAGUAACUAAGAACUCAUUAACAGAUCCUGAAAAAUUACAAGUAACAAAGCAUCAAAACAAAAGAGUAACACAUGGCCAAGGGCUUCAUCGUAGCCCUCUCUUGUUUUAUGCUUGCUUGAAUUUAGUUUUUGGAAUGGAGGAACUUCUCUUCUUGAUUUUAUGCAAUCUUCAACUGAAAGGACUAAGUAUAGCUCUGCCCAGAAUUAUAGCCUAUAAAAAAUUAUCUUUAAAUGAACAGUAUCAAGGCAUAGUCAUAUAUAAUCUUUAGAGAGAUUUUAUUUAAACCCACAUAACCUCUCUCUACACCCAACUUAAACUUUAAAUGUGAAUUGUCUUUUGUACUCUAUUGCAUAAUUACCAUAAAGUACAAGAUGAAGUUAACAAUAAAACUAAAAUCUGUGAAUAAACCCACACUGUGACGACCCAUCCCUAAUUUUACAAUUUUAUAAAUUUCAAAAAAAGUGAAUUUACAAAAUGCCACUAGAGGCGAGAUUGUUGACUUUCGUUGAUCGUCAUUUGUGACGUGUAUGGGCUAUCACUUUACCGUAUUCUCGAAGUACUCAAUAGUACGAACGAGUGCAAGCGAAAUUGAAGCUAAGGUUACGAUAGAGGUUUUACAGAACUACAAAUCUGAAAAGUACUUUUGUAAAAAUUACUAAUUAUUAUUGUAUUUAUUUCUCAUAAUUAUUAUAUUAUUAUUUUAAC